Molecule: long non-coding RNA, 1865 nt
Filed under: Bactrocera tryoni
Lineage: Eukaryota; Metazoa; Arthropoda; Insecta; Diptera; Tephritidae
Description: uncharacterized LOC120780904, transcript variant X2
Source: RNAcentral
UCUGCGCCAACUACCGUGGGAUAAGCCUUCUAAACAUCGGAUACAGUGUGGCUUCAGGCCUGGAAAAUCAACAACUGAGCACAUAGUCACCACGCGCCAAAUCCUGAAAAACACCCGUAAAAAAGGAUCAGCACACCUCCGUAGAUUUCAAAGCUGCUUUUGCAGUUCGAACUAUUUUCUACAGGAUUAGAUUGAAAAAGUCGCACUAUAGAUAGUCGCUUUGUCUGAUACCUCGUUUGGUAUAGAGCCGUUCGAGAGAUCCUUCCCAAUCCUUACGGAUAUUUUGGUAUUGCUCAACGUAAGUUUACAUAGCCGUAUUAGUUUUGCGGUGAUAUCAAAUUCAGACAUAGACGCAUAAAGCAACUUCUUUUCGAGCUGUCAAAAACAGCUUUGGAAUGGACGGAAAGGUGCGGGAUCUCUUUUAACGGGUUUUUCCCGUAUUUGGCGCACGGUGAUUGUCUGCUCUUCUUCUUCUUUAGUUGCGAAGACACCGCUUUCGCGAUUAUAGCCGAGUUAACAGCGCGCCAGUCGUUUUUUUUUGUCGAUACGUGGUGCCAAUUCCAUCCGGGGCCCUAUUCUGUAUCUCGAUUCGAAAGUAAAUUCUUUUCGAAUUUAAUAUUCGACUCGAAUGUGUUUUAGCAUUCUGUAAAAAAAUCGAAAUAAGUUUAUAAAUAUGCGAAAGUUGUACCACCCUGUGUCAGUAUUUUCGAAUGCUAAAUGUCCAAAUAAAAUGAAAUAAGUUUAAAUUUAUCUGAAAAAUAUGGAUUCCGUUGCAUUGUGGAUGGAGGACGAGGAAAUUAUUGAGGAAAGGAUUACGAGAAGAUACAUAAAUGAAUUUAAUAUUAUGGAAUUAUCGCAAAAUAGCUUCAUACAAAACUUUAGACUUUCUAAGGAAGCCUUUGAUUAUGUUUUAAGAGGCAUAACUGAAGAACUAACGGUACCUAUAAGAUCCACGGCAGUAAAUCCAGCUAUAAAACUUGCUGCUACUUUAAAAUUCCUUGGUCAAGGGGGCUAUCAACAUCAAAUAGGGCAAGACCGGUUUGCAGCGUUAGCACAGUCCACCACAUCUCAAUGUAUUGCAGAAGUUUUGAAUGCUAUUGAAAAAGCAAUGUGUCCGAAACACAUAAAAUUUGAAAUGAGCUUACAAGAAAAGCGUGAAGCUAAGAAUUAAUCUUAUUCAAAAUUUGGAUUACCAGGAAUAAUAGGUGCUGUUGAUGGAACUCACAUUCAGAUGGUUAGACCAGUAAAAGAUGAACAUCUCUUUUUUAAUCAAAAGCUAAAGCAUAGCGUCAAUGCUAUGGUGAUUUGUGACCAUAACAUGAAUAUAAGAGCUGUAAAUGGAGUUUAUGGUGGAGCAGCGCAUGAUGCACACGUAUGGAGCCUUUCAAACAAAUGACAAAACAUGCUAUCCAACUAUCAAAAUGGAGAUAAAUCUUCAUGGUUAAUUGGCCGGUGAUUCUGGAUAUCCAUUAGUGCCAUGGCUCCUUACGCCUUACCGCAAUGCAGAAGAAAAUUCACUUGAAAGUUUGUACAAUGAAAAAUUUACAAAAGCAAGAUCAAUAAUCGAGCGUGUAUUUGGAAUUUUAAAAAGUCGUUUUCGAUGCCUGCUUGCUGGAAGAGAGCUUCACUAUGCACCAAAAAAAGUUGUUAAAAUUUUGAACGUUUGUUGUGCCCUGCAUAACAUUUGCCUCAUAUACAACGUUGAAGCACCAACAGUAAUUGAAAUUAAUGAAGAACGAUCUAAUUUGGCUUUACCCAGCGUAGAUCAAAACGAGUUUUCACGAAUUGCGCAAACAAUACGAGACCGAAUUAAAAUAAGCUUGCGUUCGUAAUUUAAAUAAAGUAACUAAAAAGCAAUCCAUUUA